Molecule: ribosomal RNA, 439 nt
Filed under: uncultured bacterium
Lineage: Bacteria
Description: partial 16S ribosomal RNA
Rfam family: Bacterial small subunit ribosomal RNA
Source: RNAcentral
CUACGGGAGGCACCAGUGAGGAAUUUUCCGCAAUGGGCGAAAGCCUGACGGAGCGACGCCGUGUGUGUGAUGAAAUCUUUCGGGAUGUAAAACACUGUCAGCAGGGACGAUAUUGACGGUACCUGCAGAGGAAGGCCCGGCUAACUACGUGCCAGCAGCCGCGGUAAUACGUAGGGGCCAAGCGUUAUCCGGAAUUACUGGGCGUAAAGAGCUCGUAGGUGGCUUUGUAAGUCAGGUGUUAAAGGUAUCGGCUCAACCGGUAUUUGGCGCUUGAUACUGCAUAGCUAGAGAGUGGGAGAGGAAAGCGGAAUUUCCGGUGUAGCGGUGGAAUGCGUAGAUAUCGGAAAGAACACCAAUGGCGAAGGCAGCUUUCUGGCCCAUUUCUGACACUGAGGAGCGAAAGCUAGGGGAGCAAACAGGAUUAGAUACCCGGGUAGUC